Long non-coding RNA from Hyla sarda, 492 nucleotides. RefSeq lists it as uncharacterized. Lineage: Eukaryota; Metazoa; Chordata; Amphibia; Anura; Hylidae. The record is from RefSeq and is a predicted model, not a curated record. The transcript is spliced from 4 exons.
CUUGAAACUAGUGAAGAGCGCAUGCGCCGUGCUGAAGGCUCCACUGGUGACACCUGGUGGCCACUUUAUGACAUAGCAAGGACAAUUUACUUUCAGUACCAGCAAUAAUACGACCAGAUUGGUGCUGAUCCCUGUUUACUCAGGAUCGUCGGGAAAUCUCCUAGCAUAAGAGCAGAUGUGCGGCUGGCUGACCAUCGGUUGGGAUUCCCACGUUCAGAGAUUGUUCCUGUUGGGACCUAAUAAAGCAAUUGAGGAAAUGGCCACAAUGCAAAUUCCAUAAAUGAGCCUAAGCCUAUCUUUGUCUAUUUGCUACAUUUACAAAAACGGAACUUGGAUCCUGACAGCACUUUGGCAAUAUGCCUGGAUCUGCCGGUCUAGUAGUGGCAAAGCAAAAAAGCAAGUAUCUGGAGACUGGGAAACAGACUGCAUCUGCUUAAACAGAGGAUAACAGUAAACUGAGCAACAGCGCCACCUGUAUUCUCACUGUCAAAA